GAUGAACGCUGGCGGCGUGCCUAAUACAUGCAAGUCGAGCGAACGGACGAGAAGCUUGCUUUUCUGAUGUUAGCGGCGGACGGGUGAGUAAAACGUGGAUAACCUACCUAUUAGACUGGGAUAAUUUCGGGAAACCGGAGCUAAUAACGGAUAAUAUUUUGAACCGCAUGGUUCAAAAGUGAAAGACGGUCUUGCUGUCUCUUAUAGAUGGUUCCGCGCUGCAUUAGCUAGUUGGUAAGGUAACGGCUCACCAAGGCAACGAUGCAUAGCCGAACUGAGAGGCUGAUCGGCCACACUGGAACUGAGACACGGUCCAGACUCCUACGGGAGGCAGCAGUGGGGAAUAUUGCGCAAUGGGCGAAAGCCUGACGGAGCCACGCCGCGUGAGUGAAGAAGGUCUUCGGAUCGUAAAACUCUGUUAUUAGGGAAGAACAUAUGUGUAAUUAACUGUGCACGUCUUGACGGUACCUAAUGAGAAAGCCACGGCUAACUUCGUG
This 497-nucleotide ribosomal RNA is filed under the name uncultured bacterium. RNAcentral describes it as "partial 16S ribosomal RNA". It matches the Rfam family "Bacterial small subunit ribosomal RNA", at positions 28 to 507 of the family's 1533-position model. The record is from RNAcentral.